GCCCUCUCCGAUCAGGAAAUCAUCUCCAAGAUCCUCGAUGGCUUGGACAUGGAGUACAAUCCGGUCGUUUCCGCACUCGCUGCUCGUGUGGAACCCAUCACCGUCCAGGAGCUGUACAACCAGCUACUGAGCUUCGACG
Molecule: small nucleolar RNA, 139 nt
Filed under: Triticum aestivum (bread wheat)
Lineage: Eukaryota; Viridiplantae; Streptophyta; Magnoliopsida; Poales; Poaceae
Also listed under: 1 other name
Description: Small nucleolar RNA Z247
Rfam family: Small nucleolar RNA Z247
About the family: Z247 is a member of the C/D class of snoRNA which contain the C (UGAUGA) and D (CUGA) box motifs. Most of the members of the box C/D family function in directing site-specific 2'-O-methylation of substrate RNAs.
Source: Rfam by way of RNAcentral